Molecule: long non-coding RNA, 5395 nt
Organism: Nothobranchius furzeri (turquoise killifish)
Lineage: Eukaryota; Metazoa; Chordata; Actinopteri; Cyprinodontiformes; Nothobranchiidae
Source: Ensembl
AUGCAUGGGGAGAACACGCAACUCCACGCAGAAAGGCCACAGCUGGGUUUCGAACCUGCAACCUUCGUGCUGCGAGGCAACAGUGCUAACCACUGCGCCACCAUGCUGCUGACAUCAUGGGGUUGCACAGAAAACAGCUCUAGUCACGCAACACUGUGUGUGCAAACCUCAGAAACUUUUCAACCCUGCACACAAGUCAGCCAUCAAGUAUCUGCAAUUGACAGAAUCGCGUGCAAUUCUGGAUGCCCUGGACUCAGCUGGAACUCACCAAGGGGAUUAAAAGGAAAAGAUGGAGUGGAGCUUUACCUGCUUCUGCAGAUGUCAGCUGCUGAAAUAAUGUUUGCAAAAAGGUUUUAUUUUGAUGGGAAAAUACAUUUUGGGGAUGAAAAAUCAGUUUUGUCCAGUUGUUAGUAUUCGUUCUGAUUAGCUUGAGUCCAUACAUUUUAAUUUAACCUUUAACCUUGAACUUAAUAAAGCCACAUUGAUUUUAUGAUUUUAAUAAGGAAAUGAGUGCAUUUUUGUGUUAUUCCUUAAAAUGAAAAGAUUUCAAUGCGAUUAUAGGCUGAGCUAUCCAACUCAAUUUGACAAUCACAGAGCCUUCAUUAUAGACCAAAAAUUCCAUAUCUUUAAUUUUUUGUGCUCUUCCUUCCAAUCCAGUCCGUAUUUCCUUCUUUCUUUUUUCGCUUUGAGAUGUUAUGAUCCCAGAUAUACGAGCAAGCCUGGAGGCGUGUAGGGCAUGAAAGUGAAGUAAGAAAGACAAGAGAUUCAUUCAUGGGAAGGUGAGUCAAGGUAUCGCUGUAUCUCUACACAGAUGAUCAUUAUUACUCACACACACCACUCAAACACUGCUCACACGCAACCUGGAAUAGGCCCAACAGAUGAUAAGCGAUUGCAGCAAGAUUAGUUUAUAUUUCUGACAUAAUAACUUACUGACAAUUGCAUGACAACAAUCGUUAGAGCAAUUGUUACAUCAAAAUUAUCCAGUAACAAAAAUAAAGACGUAUUUAUCUUAUUAUUGAAAAUGUCAUAAAUUGUGAAAAAUCUAAUUAUAACACCAGUUAAAUUAUCUGUCAUGGUUUAAGUCUUUUGCAAAGUGAAACAUAUUUUUCAUUUGAAAAUGAAAAUGUAAUUUGACACAUAAAUGACGACCGUAUCCGUCAUUUUUGGUUUUGAAUAUUUAUUGGUAAUGUUCGGAUUGACUUUGUUACUCUUGGACUACAUUUCCCAUGGUGCAUCGGCACGUCUCAGUUGUGGUUGUAGCUCACGUGCGGGACUGCUAUGGCUCAGUGUGAGGCUUCGGCUCCCAGCAGAAGAGGAUCUCAGCUGCAGCAGACACCUUCACCUCCCUGGACUUCGACCACAGACCUGCAUCUUUAAUUCCUGAUCGGAAAUAUUUUAAUUAAUCGGUUUGGUCGAAGAUGUCGCCACUAGGAUUAGUUUGGAGCGCUUUUUUGGUUCAAUUUAAGGAUUAAGAAAUCAGGAACACUGGCACGUGCGGAGAAGUUCUGCUUUACUUUGAUCCCAUGAGCAGAUGGAUUAAAUGUCUACUUUGUGGACCUUGUUGGAUGUAAUGAAUGGAUGACGAGUGUUUUGUGUCUAAGCGCCUCCUCGUGCUGUUGGAGAAGUCUGGGACAGUCAGGUGGUGACCGGGGGGCUCUGCCUCACAGAUGAUCGGUAUGUUACGUUAAUGGAAACCAUGCCACAAGUAGUUUUGGGUUUUAUUUUGGAAAAAAAGUAUAAAAACAAAACAGCGACAUCCUGGAAUUUACCUGGACCUGUCCAGUCAUUUGGAUAUUUUCAUCUGAUCAUCUUGGGACUGCAGGUACGUUGGAGACUUUUUAAUGGCACACCACUGCAACUAGUAAGGUUCUCUGUAAUUACAGUUACGGUUGGAAUGGCAUUUUUAUUGAGUUUCUUUGCUUGGUAAAGUUCAUUUAUUCAUUUGAUUACUCCUUUUGGAAAGAGGAACAAAAAGAAUGUUUCUUGGUGUCUGUUUUGGUCAAAGGUUCAGUCUUUAUCUCCUAACACACCCACCUGGCCAAAACCCUCUCCACCAAAUUGCACUUCAGAGUAAAAUUUUUGCAGAGGACUUUUUUUUUUUUGAAUAACAACGUUUUUUAAAAUCAAACCAAAUUUCACACAUAAAUCGAGCCCAUGUGUCGUCUUCAACUCCAUCUGCUCUGAUUCUGAAAGCCUUAAAACCGCCAUGGACUGAUGUCAGAUUGUAUCUCAGCCUUCUCAUUCCAACCAGCUCUUAUGAAUCCUAACUAUGCACCUGGAAAGCAUAGUUCGAACAAUAAAAAGACUGUUUGAAUACAGUGAGUCCAUUCAAGUGACAGUAAGAGGGUCUUAACUGCCCAUAUGCGCCUUUCAUCCCUGCUGUCUGUCUCUGGUCUCGACCCAUUAUAGAUGCUUCACCUACAGGUGCACGUGGAUCUGCUGUGUUCUGCGAGAUUUGAGGGAGGAAUUCUGCAGCUGACAUUUUUUACAGACAUGUUUUGAUGACAUAAUGGCUUUCCAGUGACAAAAGCUUACCUCUCAUUUGCAGUCUCGUCGUUUGCAAAAAAAAAAAGUUUCAUCGGUCAUUGAGCUGCAGCAUGAGCCCUAUAUGCCUUUAAACCCCUCUCUUUCCCUUGUAUUAAAAAAUCUCCAAACAAGACCUCCUUUCUCCACUGAAGAGGGGUCCUCUGUCUUGAGCCAAGUGACUCUCAGGGCCAGCAUUGACGGUGGGACACUUGCUUCACAAAAGGGGAUGAAGUGUCAAAUAAACUUGGUCAGAGCCCCUGACACACAAGAAUUCCUUUAUCUGGCACCCUGGGAGGAAGACAAAGGCAGACUGUGUCAGCAAGUAGGCCUUGACUAAACACAAGGAUUCAAAGAAAAAAAAACUUCUCACAACUUCAGUGUCUUCUUCCUCCUCCUUUUGUUGUUUAAACAGCAGAGCGACAACAUGCCUGUUGAUGUGACCCGUACUCGCUCAGCAUCUGUCCUGCACACAGCCAGCCACACUCUGGUGCAAACUACUUAAAGGUGCACAAAGUCGAUGAAGAGGCAUCAGAGCCGAGUAAAUAUUUUGAUGCCUGUUUGAGUUCGUAUCUGAAAUGCUACAGCUGGAAUUUGCUUUUGUCGGCGCUGUGGGUUCUUGUCAUAUGAUCUGCUUGUGGUGAACCACAGCAGAGAAACACGUUUAGCGAAGAACUGUGGACUUAUUUCACUCAACGUUUUCCGAGAAACUUUUAACGUACUCUUCUCUUUUAUUAUUGUGGUGUUCUGAACUUCAGAUCUUGCUUUAAAAACUUCUGGAGAGCAAGCAUGGGGGUUUCUGUAUUGUAAAUAUAAAAUUAAAAACUGUAUGAAUUCUGAUACUUGUAGUUUGGGCUGGUUGGCCCCAGUAGUACACAUGUGCAUCACCCCCCCCAGGCAUGUUAAUACAGGCCUAGAGAGGGGGCAGUAGUCCCUUGCACACCGCUUUGAGUAAACAGAUAGAGUUGCUGUAGUUGAGCGUGUUAAUGGUGUGUUUAUGAGCUUAGUUUGAGUGGUGAUUUGUCAUGUCUAAAUGCAGCUCUCCUGCCUUGGGUCCCAGACUUUGAUCCGGCUCAUGGUGACAUCAGAGCUCAAGCUGAGUAGAAGGAGCAAGCUCGGUUCAUGAAUUAAACCAGGUGUUCGUAUCAAGCAUAAACUUAAAUCAUGCAAAGGUAGAAAGGGCAAAACAUCCUUCCAUCAUUAAUGUCAGAUGGGUGCUUAAUGAUGCGUCAGUUGGGAAAAAAAAGCCUCUUGUGUCUUUACACAUAGAGCACCAUUCAAACUCAGCUGAGUGUGUUUAGAAUGGGCUCUAAAGUUAGUCUAAACAGGAGAACUGUCAUUUAUUAGUAGUGCAGGAACAAUGGGCAGCUUGUCUCUGGGGUGGUGGGGGACUUAGGAGGGGGGCCAGAGGGGGCCAGUUCAACGGGGGGGGGUGGCCUGAGAUUGGGCAGCAGCUUCUGACCAAGAACAAGCGCCUGUCUGAUGAAGAGAACUGCUGACCCUUCUUGAGUAAAAUGGCACCUUUGUUUGGAGGUGUGUGUUUGUGCCUAUUUGUUUAUGUGUGUGUGUGUGUGUGUGUGUGUGUGUGUGUGUGCGCGCGUGUGUGUGAAGGCGAGAAAUAGAGAAGUUCUGAAAAGAAGAGCGCUGUGAAUAUGCCUUUUAUAUUACUGUUGUGAUAUCAAUAAUAUAUCUCCAAAUCUAUUAUUUGAUUGUUCAGCAGAUUUAAAUCCACAUUCUACAUUUUCCUUAUAAAACGUCCUCAUCAAUGCUGCCCAGAUCUCCAACCUGAGGGUUUCCUCAUCAUUAAAGUUAUUUUGUGUCUGAGGCAACAGUUUUAAUUGUAUCUGAUGCUUGAGACUAAGUAACAGCAUGUCUUCUGUCCUCUUGGAGCAGCUGUCCUGCUGCAGUGUUUUCUUUCUGCAAACACCUGGUGAUGCUCCUCGUGUGGAGAGUUUUACUAGUGGAAACGAUGGAAAAGUGGAGACGAGUAAAAGAUGGGCUGUAAUAGAAGCUGAUUGUUCAUUUGCUUUUGGGAAACCACAACUUAAGAAGGUGCCUGUUUGUCUGUGUUCAGGAAAUAUUCAGAAGUACAAUGAAUAUGUUUCACUACAAGUUGUGACAGAAAGUUUUGGGGUAUUUUUCUAAAUGGAGUAAAAUCAGGUUAAUGUCAAUAAGCCUAAUUUCUUUCCACUCCAUUAGUUUUGUUUUGUCUUGCAGAGGAAAGGUAGCCUAGAAAUCUAGACAGCAGAUGCAAAAUGAUUUUGCUCUUCACAUGUAUUCACAUAGGAUGGCUUGCCAGACUAGAGGAAAGGCUAGCUUGCUUCUGAUCCCAGCCAACAACAAGUCUACCAACUAAAGCGCAAACAGCAAAACCCACGACUCAGCACAGGGGCGUGUGUGUCCGCUCCAGACAGCCAGACUCAUUCGGGACAGGCUUCAGGAAGGCUGGAAUCGCCCUCAACUCAUUACAGAAGCGCAUCUGCUGGCGCUGCGCUGAGGAGUGACUGCUUCAGUACAUGUGCAGAUGAGGAAGGACGAUUUUUCAUCACAGAAGGUUUUAGUUUGUGAUUGGCUCCAGAUGCAAACAACUGUGUGAAUAAAGUCUUAGCUUCCCUGGAUUCUAGUGCUGACAUGUUUGGAGUAGAUUGUCAUUGCAGAGAAAAUGUAGGCAAAGGGAGCCUAACCCCCAAAUUCCACUACCUCCGCUCCGCUCCGCUCCGGUCCGCCCCCGCCUUCCGCAGCCGCUCGCUUCCGAACUCAAUUUUUCUUGGUACCCGCUCUACAACGGCUCCGCUCCGGUGCGGAGACCUGAGGUGGGCAAACAAGCAUGCGCGGGAUUUUCGAGAUCUUGCGAUACAGUCCGAGCAAUAAA